CAGCAGCCGCGGUAAUACGAAGGGUGCAAGCGUUACUCGGAAUUACUGGGCGUAAAGCGUGCGUAGGUGGUGGUUUAAGUCCGCUGUGAAAGCCCUGGGCUCAACCUGGGAAUUGCAGUGGAUACUGGAUCACUAGAGUGUGGUAGAGGAUAGUGGAAUUUCCGGUGUAGCAGUGAAAUGCGUAGAGAUCGGAAGGAACAUCUGUAGCGAAGGCGACUAUCUGGGCCAACACUGACACUGAGGCACGAAAGCGUGGGGAGCAAACAGGAUUAGAUACCCCUGUAGUCCCUGUCUCUUAUAC
This 301-nucleotide ribosomal RNA is filed under the name uncultured bacterium. RNAcentral's name for it is "partial 16S ribosomal RNA". It matches the Rfam family "Bacterial small subunit ribosomal RNA", at positions 509 to 807 of the family's 1533-position model. The record is from RNAcentral.